CCUACGGGGGGCAGCAGUGGGGAAUAUUGGACAAUGGGGGCAACCCUGAUCCAGCCAUGCCGCGUGAGUGAAGAAGGCCUUAGGGUCGUGAAGCUCUUUCACCGGUGAAGAUAAUGACGGUAGCCGGAGAAGAAGCCCCGGCUAACUCCGUGCCAGCAGCCGCGGU
RNAcentral lists this ribosomal RNA (166 nucleotides) under uncultured bacterium. RNAcentral describes it as "partial 16S ribosomal RNA". It matches the Rfam family "Bacterial small subunit ribosomal RNA", at positions 338 to 521 of the family's 1533-position model. The record is from RNAcentral.